GGGUAUAGCUCAGUAGCAGAGCACACGUUUACCACGUAUAAGGUCCUGGGUUCAAUCCCCAGUAUGUCUA
RNAcentral lists this transfer RNA (70 nucleotides) under Camelus bactrianus (Bactrian camel). It matches the Rfam family "tRNA". From Rfam's summary of the family: Transfer RNA (tRNA) molecules are approximately 80 nucleotides in length. Their secondary structure includes four short double-helical elements and three loops (D, anti-codon, and T loops). Further hydrogen bonds mediate the characteristic L-shaped molecular structure. tRNAs have two regions of fundamental functional importance: the anti-codon, which is responsible for specific mRNA codon recognition, and the 3' end, to which the tRNAs corresponding amino acid is attached (by aminoacyl-tRNA synthetases). tRNAs cope with the degeneracy of the genetic code in two manners: having more than one tRNA (with a specific anti-codon) for a particular amino acid; and 'wobble' base-pairing, i.e. permitting non-standard base-pairing at the 3rd anti-codon position. Lineage: Eukaryota; Metazoa; Chordata; Mammalia; Artiodactyla; Camelidae. The record is from Rfam by way of RNAcentral. RNAcentral also lists the same sequence under 2 other names.